CCGUGGUCAGUGUCCCUGCAGUUGACAGCCCAGGGGCAGCAGGGGUCAGCGGCUGUCCCUGUGCAAGCCCUUUGACCGGGGAAGCAGAGUGCUCGGUCAGCGCCUCUGGGAGCUGUCUGCAGAGCCUGCCGGGCCGGGAGCGCCUUUCUCCAGGUCUGAGCUGCAGACUCACAGGCAUCUCCCUCACUGGGAUCAGCAGGCCUCCAGUCCGGGCGGAGAACGGCAAUGCUCUCCCUUCUUCCCUCCGUUCCAGCCUCCCUGCUGGUCUGUUGGGAUUCCUAGCCACGAGCCGCGCUCACACGCUCUGGUCCAGUCAGACGCCUGGAGCACCCAAGUGUCCCUAAGGUGCACACAGACUACAGUUGAGGACACUGGAGGAGACAAGACACCAGCGUCUCCCAGGCUGCGAAUCUCCCUCAACAGAGGCUCCUGACAGUGCUCCCGUCACGCUGGCUUCCAAGCGGCCGACCAUGAGUGCCAGGACAGGUUCUGACUCCUCAGCCCUGAGUGAACAGCCACUUAGACUCCUCAGGCACCCCUCCCUCGCCUGGCCCCAUCAGAGAAGUUAAUUUUAUUACAGUGCGGGUGGGUUGAGGCUUGGGAGAAAUGCCUGGUCUAGACGUGAGACGACGCUCACACAGACUCGAGCCUUGAGUGUGCACACGUUUAGAAGACACUGAUCAACAGGUGCUGUCGUCGGCGCCUCGCGGAAGCCGCCAGGUCUACUCAGGACUGGACGAGUACUUAGGGUUGAGUCAGAUCGGCCGGCCAGGGAGGACCAGCUUGCGUCCUCCCUUCUGCCUCCUUGGGUUGCUCGCUGUGACCACAGGCAGACCCAGCCAUCUGCAUCGUGAUGGACAAUGCACUCAGGUGCAAACAGUAACCGGGACUUGCCUUCCACAUCUCCACUCCUCACACCGGAUGGAGGCACCGUGACCACGCUCCAGUGUUUCCCUGCCGCGAAGGGGGCAGCAGGGCGAGAGACACAGGAGGAGUCAGGCUGUGGCGCACCCCUCGGACAAGGAAGCCAAGACAGCACCUGCCACUCGUCUCUUCUUCCUCGGGUACUUGGACUUCCUGAUGAACCUGACCAAAGCACCAGAGAAAGGACUUCAGCUCCCUGGCCGUCUCGCCUCCUCCUGCCACAGGGCUGCUCUGUCCGGGAUUCACUCGGAAAUACUGAACGUCCCCAGGGCCUGGCUGCUGGCCACUCCUGCUCUGGGGAGGCCGCUCGGCUCUGCCCUUGAGCCUGACGUGGGCUGGGAGACCAAUCCUCGGCUCUGCCCUUGAGCCUGACGUGGGCUGGGAGACCAGUCCUCGGCUCUGCCCGUUCCUCCUCAUGUGCACGGUACUCCACGCUGCUGCCUCGGUCCUCUGCGCCCAGCCUGCACUGCCCGGCCAGUCUGGCCUGGGGAGUCCCUCUCUAAGCAAAGCAGGUGCGAGGCUCACUGGACUCCACCACAUCUCG
Molecule: long non-coding RNA, 1468 nt
Filed under: Oryctolagus cuniculus (rabbit)
Lineage: Eukaryota; Metazoa; Chordata; Mammalia; Lagomorpha; Leporidae
Description: lncRNA (ENSOCUG00000036025.1)
Source: RNAcentral